Molecule: long non-coding RNA, 928 nt
Filed under: Vulpes vulpes (red fox)
Lineage: Eukaryota; Metazoa; Chordata; Mammalia; Carnivora; Canidae
Description: lncRNA (ENSVVUG00000010943.1)
Source: RNAcentral
CAUACUUAAUCUUAUAAAGAAGUUAAAUAAUGUAGUUAUAUUUACUUUCAUUCAGUUAUGACAAAGAAGAACUAUAGAGUAUAAAAUAUUCAGUUUUCAAAUAUAUUGAAUUUUCUUGUUGGACCCAAUUACAUGGUCAUUUUUUCCAAGUGUUUUAUGGUAUACAGUAUAAGGUCUCUAACUAUGGAAAAUGUAUUUCAUGUAUAUAAAACAUGUUAAGUCUAGUGGAGAAAUUCUUUAAAAAUUCAUUGCCUUAUUUCUCAUUCAGAUUUGUAGUAUGUUACUAGUAGAAGACUAUAGGUAUAGUUUGAACAAAAGGUAAAAGGGGAGACUGGUGGGCAGAGAGGUGGGAGCUGGCUGUGUUGCACAUGGGGAAGUCCAGGGAUGUGCAGAGUUCAAUGGUUUUAUUUUCUAUCCCAUACAGAGCAACAGAGUCCUUGGGACAGACCAACCCUGAUGGACCCCAAGAGACUUUCAAUGAAGCAUGGGAAAGAAUUAUUAAAGCAGUUUGGGAUUCCACAGAGAGAUAUUGACUUGAUGACAGAGAAAUGGGUCGUUGAUGCUGCUGUGGAGGCUCUGUUACGGUUUCCUCUGAUGCCAGGAGAGGAUCCAAGUGCCCGCUGUGUCUCCAAUAAGAAAUAUCAGCCGUCAGUUGACCAGCCUCUCACAGCCACUCAAAGACAUGAACACCAAGAGGAGAAGUGGGACAAAUGUCGGGGAGUAAUGUGAGUAGGACAUGGGGGGAUUCCCUCUGUGGUGGAGUUGUGGGUCCCGGAGGCUUCUGACUUGUGUCUCCCUUACGGUCACACAGGCUUUUCUUUGUCAGCUUUACAUGUACAUGUAAGCUGGCACAGCAUCCUCAGCUUGUGUGUCCCUGUGUGACUUCGUGCAUGCCUCUCCUGAAAACCCACAUGUGGUUAUGGGGCUC